GACGAACGCUGGCGGCGUGCUUAAUACAUGCAAGUCAACGACUUUUAGAGUAGCAAUAUUUUAAAGGGAGUGGCGCACGGGUGAGUAACACGUAGGUAAUCUGCCUUCAGGACUGACACAACUCGUCGAAAGACGGGCUAAUAUCAGAUAAUGCAGCGGCUCCGCAUGGAGACAGUUGUUAAAGUACAAGCGCCUGAAGAUGAGCCUGCGGUCCAUUAGCUAGUUGGUAGAGUAACAGCCUACCAAGGCAACGAUGGAUAGCUGGUCUGAGAGGAUGAUCAGCCACACUGGAACUGAGACACGGUCCAGACUCCUACGGGAGGCAGCAGUAAGGAAUAUUGCUCAAUGGCCGAAAGGCUGAAGCAGCAACGCCGCGUGAAGGGUGAAUGGCCUUUGGCCUGUAAACUUCUGUAAAAAGGGAAAACAAGUCAGGCAUGUCCUGAUUUGAUUGUACCUUUGAAGUAAGCCCCGGCUAACU
This 478-nucleotide ribosomal RNA is filed under the name uncultured bacterium. RNAcentral's name for it is "bacterial SSU rRNA". It matches the Rfam family "Bacterial small subunit ribosomal RNA", at positions 28 to 502 of the family's 1533-position model. The record is from RNAcentral.